This 459-nucleotide ribosomal RNA is filed under the name uncultured bacterium. RNAcentral describes it as "partial 16S ribosomal RNA". It matches the Rfam family "Bacterial small subunit ribosomal RNA", at positions 338 to 795 of the family's 1533-position model. The record is from RNAcentral.
CCUACGGGUGGCAGCAGUGAGGAAUAUUGGUCAAUGGCCGGAAGUCUGAACCAGCCAAGCCGCGUGCAGGACGAAGGUGCCAAGCAUUGUAAACUUCUUUUGUCCAGGGACAAAAUCAGGCUCGAGAGCCUGACCGAGGGUACUUGAAGAAAAAGCAUCGGCUAACUCCGUGCCAGCAGCCGCGGUAAUACGGAGGAUUCAAGCGUUAUCCGGAUUUAUUGGGGUUACAGGGUGCGUAGGCGGUCUGUUAAGUCAGCGGUAAAAGCCCGGGGCUCAACCCCGGCGAGCCGUUGAAACUGGUCGGCUAGAGAGGUCGUGAGGUAUGCGGAAUGUGUAGUGUAGCGGUGAAAUGCUUAGAGAUCGUGCAGAACUCCGAUUGCGAAGGCAGCAUACCGGGGUCGAUCUGACGUUGAGGCACGAAAGCGUGGGUAGCGAACAGGAUUAGAUACCCGUGUAGUC